This 86-nucleotide small nucleolar RNA is filed under the name Arabidopsis suecica. RNAcentral describes it as "snoR114". It matches the Rfam family "small nucleolar RNA snoR114". Lineage: Eukaryota; Viridiplantae; Streptophyta; Magnoliopsida; Brassicales; Brassicaceae. The record is from RNAcentral.
GAGCUGUGACGAAAUUGACUUCAGCGUUGGUUGGGUCCUUCGCAUUCUUCUGAUUUCUCAGAUGAUAUCGCCACACUCCUGAGCUC